Molecule: non-coding RNA, 99 nt
Organism: Crassisporium funariophilum
Lineage: Eukaryota; Fungi; Basidiomycota; Agaricomycetes; Agaricales; Crassisporiaceae
Source: the annotation of a GenBank genome assembly
AGCAGCAUGGCGCAGUGGCAGCGCGCGGGGCCCAUAGGUUUACAGUCUUGUGACUGCACCGCAACCCCGAGGUCACUCGAUCGAAACGAGUUGCUGCUA